GAUGAACGCUGGCGGCGUGCCUAAUACAUGCCAGUCGAGCGAACAGACGAGGAGCUUGCUCCUCUGACGUUAGCGGCGGACGGGUGAGUAACACGUGGAUAACCUACCUAUAAGACUGGGAUAACUUCGGGAAACCGGAGCUAAUACCGGAUAAUAUAUUGAACCGCAUGGUUCAAUAGUGAAAGACGGUUUUGCUGUCACUUAUAGAUGGAUCCGCGCCGCAUUAGCUAGUUGGUAAGGUAACGGCCUACCAAGGCAACGAUGCGUAGCCGACCUGAGAGGGUGAUCGGCCACACUGGAACUGAGACACGGUCCAGACUCCUACGGGAGGCAGCAGUAGGGAAUCUUCCGCAAUGGGCGAAAGCUUGACGGAGCAACGCCGCGUGAGUGAUGAAGGUCUUCGGAUCGUAAAACUCUGUUAUUAGGGAAGAACAAAUGUGUAAGUAACUAUGCACGUCUUGACGGUACCUAAUCAGAAAGCCACGGCUAACUACGUG
RNAcentral lists this ribosomal RNA (497 nucleotides) under uncultured bacterium. RNAcentral describes it as "partial 16S ribosomal RNA". It matches the Rfam family "Bacterial small subunit ribosomal RNA", at positions 28 to 507 of the family's 1533-position model. The record is from RNAcentral.